Molecule: ribosomal RNA, 517 nt
Filed under: Haemophilus quentini
Lineage: Bacteria; Pseudomonadati; Pseudomonadota; Gammaproteobacteria; Pasteurellales; Pasteurellaceae
Description: bacterial SSU rRNA
Rfam family: Bacterial small subunit ribosomal RNA
Source: RNAcentral
UGGAGAGUUUGAUCCCUGGCUCAGAUUGAACGCUGGCGGCAGGCUUAACACAUGCAAGUCGAACGGUAGCAGGAGAAAGCUUGCUUUCUUGCUGACGAGUGGCGGACGGGUGAGUAAUGCUUGGGAAUCUGGCUUAUGGAGGGGGAUAACUACGGGAAACUGUAGCUAAUACCGCGUAAUAUCGAAAGAUUAAAGUGUGGGACCUUCGGGCCACAUGCCAUAAGAUGAGCCCAAGUGGGAUUAGGUAGUUGGUGAGGUAAAGGCUCACCAAGCCUGCGAUCUCUAGCUGGUCUGAGAGGAUGGCCAGCCACACUGGAACUGAGACACGGUCCAGACUCCUACGGGAGGCAGCAGUGGGGAAUAUUGCGCAAUGGGGGGAACCCUGACGCAGCCAUGCCGCGUGAAUGAAGAAGGCCUUCGGGUUGUAAAGUUCUUUCGGUAUUGAGGAAGGGAUGUGUGCUAAUAGUACACGUCAUUGACGUUAAAUACAGAAGAAGCACCGGCUAACUCCGUGCCA